RNAcentral lists this ribosomal RNA (422 nucleotides) under uncultured bacterium 1204-33l. RNAcentral's name for it is "bacterial SSU rRNA". It matches the Rfam family "Bacterial small subunit ribosomal RNA", at positions 529 to 948 of the family's 1533-position model. The record is from RNAcentral. Lineage: Bacteria; Pseudomonadati; Pseudomonadota; Gammaproteobacteria.
CAAGCGCGAGCGUUAAUCGGAAUUACUGGGCGUAAAGCGUGCGUAGGCGGCCUGUUAAGUCAGAUGUGAAAGCCCUGGGCUCAACCUGGGAACGGCAUUUGAAACUGGCAAGCUAGAGUUAGGUAGAGGGGAGUGGAAUUUCAGGUGUAGCGGUGAAAUGCGUAGAUAUCUGAAGGAACACCAGUGGCGAAGGCGGCUUCCUGGACCCAAACUGACGCUGAGGUACGAAAGCGUGGGUAGCAAACGGGAUUAGAUACCCCGGUAGUCCACGCCGUAAACGAUGUCGACUAGCCGUUGGGCUCCUUAAUAGAGUUUAGUGGCGCAGCUAACGCAUUAAGUCGACCGCCUGGGGAGUACGGCCGCAAGGUUAAAACUCAAAUGAAUUGACGGGGGCCCGCACAAGCGGUGGAGCAUGUGGUUUA